GGGGAUGUACUGGCUUCGACGGGGGAUGCGGUGGCUGUGGAAGCGAGUCGAGAAAGCGCCAAGCUCGUAAAAUGACGCACCUAAAUUUAAAUGCUAACAAUAAUAGAUUAGCUGUCGCUGCUUAAUCAGUGACCUCUCUGCCCAUGUAUUCUGCGACGUGGGGUCAGAGAGUCGACCUGCAGAAUACUUGCUUGGUAAUUGAAGGAUAGCUAAGCAGGGAAAUUUAUCUUUCUGGCUUUGAAUGAGCUUGUUUGUGAGCGCAGGAUAGGCGAGAUCUAAAGCACAAACUACACUCGUAGAAACCGCAGUGGUCGCUCUUGCGGACAGGGGUUCGACUCCCCUCAUCUCCAUAA
RNAcentral lists this transfer-messenger RNA (353 nucleotides) under Peptococcaceae. RNAcentral's name for it is "QAKL01 sp003343815 Standard tmRNA". It matches the Rfam family "transfer-messenger RNA". Rfam says of the family: Bacterial tmRNA, also known as 10Sa RNA or SsrA, is named for its dual tRNA and mRNA-like properties. RNAcentral also lists the same sequence under 1 other name. The record is from RNAcentral. Lineage: Bacteria; Bacillati; Bacillota; Clostridia; Eubacteriales.